AUGAGGGGGGUUCGAUUCAUUUCAAUGGGUCACCAACGAGGGGGGUUCGAUUCAUUUCAAUGGGUCACUAACGAGGGGGGUUCGAUUCAUUUCAAUGGGUCACCAAUGAGGGGGGUUCGAUUCAUUUCAAUGGGUCACCAACGAGGGGGGUUCGAUUCAUUUCAAUGGGUCACCAACGAGGGGGGUUCGAUUCAUUUCAAUGGGUCACCAACGAGGGGGGUUCGAUUCAUUUCAAUGGGUCACCAACGAGGGGGGUUCGAUUCAUUUCAAUGGGUCACCAACGAGGGGGGUUCGAUUCAUUUCAAUGGGUCACCAACGAGGGGGGUUCGAUUCAUUUCAAUGGGUCACCAACGAGGGGGGUUCGAUUCAUUUCAAUGGGUCACCAACGAGGGGGGUUCGAUUCAUUUCAAUGGGUCACCAACGAGGGGGGUUCGAUUCAUUUCAAUGGGUCACCAACGAGGGGGGUUCGAUUCAUUUCAAUGGGUCACCAACGAGGGGGGUUCGAUUCAUUUCAAUGGGUCACCAACGAGGGGGGUUCGAUUCAUUUCAAUGGGUCACCAACGAGGGGGGUUCGAUUCAUUUCAAUGGGUCACCAACGAGGGGGGUUCGAUUCAUUUCAAUGGGUCACCAACGAGGGGGGUUCGAUUCAUUUCAAUGGGUCACCAACGAGGGGGGUUCGAUUCAUUUCAAUGGGUCACCAACGAGGGGGGUUCGAUUCAUUUCAAUGGGUCACCAACGAGGGGGGUUCGAUUCAUUUCAAUGGGUCACCAACGAGGGGGGUUCGAUUCAUUUCAAUGGGUCACUAACGAGGGGGGUUCAAUUCAUUUCAAUGGGUCACCAACGAGGGGGGUUCAAUUCAUUUCAAUGGGUCACCAACGAGGGGGGUUCAAUUCAUUUCAAUGGGUCACCAACGAGGGGGGUUCAAUUCAUUUCAAUGGGUCACCAAUGAGGGGGGUUCGAUUCAUUUCAAUGGGUCACCAACGAGGGGGGUUCGAUUCAUUUCAACCGGGCGCCCGUGUAUGUGUGUUUUGCACUUGCUGA
This 1041-nucleotide long non-coding RNA is filed under the name Oncorhynchus mykiss (rainbow trout). Its description in RNAcentral is "lncRNA (ENSOMYG00000062033.1)". The record is from RNAcentral. Lineage: Eukaryota; Metazoa; Chordata; Actinopteri; Salmoniformes; Salmonidae.